Molecule: ribosomal RNA, 253 nt
Filed under: uncultured bacterium
Lineage: Bacteria
Description: partial 16S ribosomal RNA
Rfam family: Bacterial small subunit ribosomal RNA
Source: RNAcentral
GACAGAGGCCUCAAGCGUUAGGCGGAAUCACUGGGCUUAAAGCGUGUGUAGGCGGAUCGUUAAGUGUCUUGUGAAAUCCCACGGCUCACCCGUGGAACUGCUGGGCAUACUGACGAUCUUGGGCCAACUAGGGGCAACUGGAACAAGCGGUGGAGCGGUGAAAUGCGUAGAUAUCGCUUGGAACGCCGAAGGUGAAAACAGGUUGCUGGGGUUGUGCCGACGCUGAGACACGAAAGCCAGGGGAGCAAACGGG